GUAGGGAAUCUUGCGCAAUGGGCGAAAGCCUGACGCAGCAACGCCGCGUGCGGGAAGAAGGCCCUCGGGUUGUAAACCGCUUUUGGCAGGAACGAAAAUGACGGUACCUGCAGAAUAAGGUGCGGCCAACUACGUGCCAGCAGCCGCGGUGACACGUAGGCACCAAGCGUUGUCCGGAUUUAUUGGGCGUAAAGAGCUCGUAGGCGGUUCAGUAAGUCGGGUGUGAAAACUCUGGGCUUAACCCAGAGACGCCACCCGAUACUGCUGAACUUGAGUUCGGUAGGGGAGCGGGGAAUUCCUGGUGUAGCGGUGAAAUGCGCAGAUAUCAGGAGGAACACCGGUGGCGAAGGCGCCGCUCUGGGCCGAAACUGACGCUGAGGAGCGAAAGCGUGGGUAGCAAACAGGAUUAGAUACCCUGGUAGUCC
RNAcentral lists this ribosomal RNA (425 nucleotides) under uncultured bacterium. RNAcentral describes it as "bacterial SSU rRNA". It matches the Rfam family "Bacterial small subunit ribosomal RNA", at positions 354 to 796 of the family's 1533-position model. The record is from RNAcentral.